ACAGGGUCAGCCAUAGUAGUAUGAUAGGUGUUGUUUUACAGGGUCAGCCAUAGUAGUAUGAUAGGUGUUGUUUUACAGGGUCAGUCAUAGUAGUAUGAUAGGUGCAGUGUAAUGUGUUGUUUUACAGGGUCAGCCAUAGUAGUAUGAUAGGUGUUGUUUUACAGGGUCAGUCAUAGUAGUAUGAUUGGUGCAGUGUAAUGUGUUGUUUUACAGGGUCAGCCAUAGUAGUAUGAUAGGUGCAGUGUAAUGUGUUGUUUUACAGGGUCAGCCAUAGUAGUAUGAUAGGUGUUGUUUUACAGGGUCAGGCAUAGUAGUAUGAUUGGUGUUGUUUUACAGGGUCAGCCAUAGUAGUAUGAUAGGUGUUGUUGUACAGGGUCAGUCAUAGUAUUAUGAUAGGUGUUGUUUUACAGGGUCAGGCAUAGUAGUAUGAUUGGUGCAGUGUAAUGUGUUGUUUUAC
Oncorhynchus keta (chum salmon) is the source of this 457-nucleotide long non-coding RNA. RefSeq lists it as uncharacterized. Lineage: Eukaryota; Metazoa; Chordata; Actinopteri; Salmoniformes; Salmonidae. The transcript has 4 exons. The record is from RefSeq and is a predicted model, not a curated record.